This 128-nucleotide unclassified non-coding RNA is filed under the name soil metagenome. Its description in RNAcentral is "partial internal transcribed spacer 1". The record is from RNAcentral.
CUAAUGGGUCCAAAGACUCUUAAAACCUACCGUGCUCCCCUACGUGGAAAACAAGAAAGCCCUCCGGGGCAUAGGAAAUCUGAGAAGUUGAGAACUGCGCCCCGGCGCAUGACUAAAACAAAAAAUUA